GACUAAGUAGCGAGUUUUUCCAUACUAUAGGGACUAAAUAGUAUUUUUUUUCAUUUUAUUAUUGAUAAGGGUAUUUUUGGGAUUAUAUUUAUUCUCUUUCCUUUGACCAGGUGAAAAUCAUUGACUUAACAGAAAUUUUUGAUGGAGGGACCUUGAAUUUUGACGGAAUUAAACCUCAGGGACGAAAGUGUUGGGAUUUAAAAAUAGAGGGACGAAUUCGUUAAUUACGCUAU
RNAcentral lists this long non-coding RNA (233 nucleotides) under Manihot esculenta (cassava). RNAcentral describes it as "long non-coding RNA (MESC_LNC007315)". Lineage: Eukaryota; Viridiplantae; Streptophyta; Magnoliopsida; Malpighiales; Euphorbiaceae. The record is from RNAcentral.